CAUCGUGAGAUGGAAUCUGAAGGAAGCUGAAAGCAAACCUCCGGUUCGACGGACAGAAAUCGCAUAUAAGGCUGGACUCUGAGAGAUAAGUUGGCUCAAAGCAACAAAGUCUAAUAACUAUCACAUUUGUAGGAGUAAAGUAAAUGCGGCGGAUAUAUGGAGGGAAAGAG
This 170-nucleotide non-coding RNA is filed under the name uncultured Anaerostipes sp. Lineage: Bacteria; Bacillati; Bacillota; Clostridia; Lachnospirales; Lachnospiraceae. The record is from RNAcentral.